RNAcentral lists this ribosomal RNA (301 nucleotides) under uncultured bacterium. RNAcentral's name for it is "partial 16S ribosomal RNA". It matches the Rfam family "Bacterial small subunit ribosomal RNA", at positions 509 to 809 of the family's 1533-position model. The record is from RNAcentral.
CAGCCGCCGCGGUAAUACGGAGGGGGCUAGCGUUGUUCGGAAUUACUGGGCGUAAAGGGCGCGUAGGCGGAUUGUUUAGUUAGGCGUGAAAUUCCUGGGCUCAACCUGGGGGCUGCGUUUGAUACUUGGUUGCUAGAGUGAGGAAGAGGGUCGUGGAAUUCCCAGUGUAGAGGUGAAAUUCGUAGAUAUUGGGAAGAACACCGGUGGCGAAGGCGGCGACCUGGUCCUUGACUGACGCUGAGGCGCGAAAGCGUGGGGAGCAAACAGGAUUAGAUACCCCCGUAGUCCCUGUCUCUUAUAA